UGCCUGGCGGCCAUAGCGCCGUGGAACCACCUGAUCCCAUGCCGAACUCAGAAGUGAAACGCGGUAGCGCCGAUGGUAGUGUGGCAUUCGCCAUGUGAGAGUAGGACACUGCCAGGCA
Molecule: ribosomal RNA, 118 nt
Filed under: Aeromonas salmonicida subsp. salmonicida A449
Lineage: Bacteria; Pseudomonadati; Pseudomonadota; Gammaproteobacteria; Aeromonadales; Aeromonadaceae
Source: RNAcentral